Molecule: non-coding RNA, 42 nt
Filed under: Alexandrium minutum
Lineage: Eukaryota; Dinophyceae; Gonyaulacales; Pyrocystaceae
Source: RNAcentral
UUUUUUUUUUUUUUUUUUUUUUUUUUUUUUUUUUUUUCGGAA